GGCAAGAUGGCCGAGCGGUCUAAGGCGCUCGACUCAAGUUGAUUAUCAGCUUAGACAUAGAUAACUUUGUCUUUCGAGUCUCGAAAGAGGCAGGGGUUCGAAUCCCCUUCUUGUCA
Molecule: non-coding RNA, 116 nt
Organism: Aspergillus leporis
Lineage: Eukaryota; Fungi; Ascomycota; Eurotiomycetes; Eurotiales; Aspergillaceae
Source: the annotation of a GenBank genome assembly